Hyla sarda is the source of this 1525-nucleotide long non-coding RNA. RefSeq lists it as uncharacterized. The record is from RefSeq and is a predicted model, not a curated record. The transcript has 3 exons. Lineage: Eukaryota; Metazoa; Chordata; Amphibia; Anura; Hylidae.
UCUCCUGCUAACAAAUGGGGGAAGUGAUUCGUGAUUUAUAGUUUAUUCUACCAUAACUAUGUUGAGUGCCAUCCCUACUGUUUUAAUGUUUAGCAUUUUUUUUAGCUAGUGCUAAUGGAAUACUGCUGCAAAAAUAUGAAAUGUUUGGUAAAUAAAGGAUCAUCCUCCUUAGCUUUAGGAAUAUGAAGCGUCUUUCCGUUCAACUGCAUCCGACUCCCGCCACCUAAUCUUUCGUAAUUGCUACAUGCAAUCAAGUCUGCCAUGUGCCUGACAAGCCAUCAACCACUCCUAGUAUCCCUGCUGUGAUGAAUUUAGGCUGUUCGGGGUCAAAUGUGUACACGGCGAAGGAAGCAAGUUAGUGCACCAAUCAUUUCAGCCAGUAAUUCAGUACAUAUGUAUUACACAAUGCCCUCAUCCUAGCUGGAAUUCAGCUUGUCAGUUUAAUAAAGAGGCUAUCAAAGUAAAUUAUUUGUUUUAUGCACAUCUCCUAAAUUGAUAUGACACAGGCUAAAAUAUGAAUGUCUCGUAUUGGCAUUUGACUACGUGAGCUGUAUUUUACUUUGACACUGAGGCUAAGUCUUCAUGUCUGUGUUUGUUUGCCGCUUCCCAGAUCUUGCAUAAGAAAUUUUAGAACGCUAUAAAUAUAAACCAAUGAUAACGUUGAAAGAUUUUCGGAAAAGAAGUUCUUGUUGUGCAAACAUUAGCAUCAGAAAGCAGGAGCGCGUCCUUAUUUCACAAAUUGUACCAAACCACGCGGCUGUCAAGGCCUGAUUGAUUUAUUUUAUUAAAGACUGUGAUUAAACACAGGAUCCUUUUCACUAAGGUCAACAGAACAGGUUAAUUUCAAGCAGCAUCUUCCUCCUGGGAAGAAGGUUUUGGAUGCUGCUGUCAUCCAUCUCUGUACUUGCUGUGUCCUACAAUUAACCCCAGUGGCAGUGUUGACAAAAUACUUGUCUUUUCCAGUUAGUCGCAGCCAUGCUUGCUUUUUCAGACCAAAGCAUUUGCAAUGUUAUAUCCCCCCUAUGUUGUAUAUUGUGUCGUAUUGCAAUGAGCGUGCGAUAUAAUACAGCUAAAGGUGCAGACUGCAGAGAAAUCCUCUUUCUGUACAUUGAUAUUAUCAGGACGGUGAGAUAAUGAUUGUGUCCUUUACUUUCAGGCUUCCUUCUUUCUUACCGAACUAGUUAUAAGGAGAAAAUGUCUUGAAGGGAAACGAUCAUUAUCUCACCGGUGACAAGGAAUUAAUUGACGUCUCUGGAGUUGCAGCUACAUUUCAACGUUAAAGGUCAUACAAGGUAGAGGGGAGGACUGAACACGCAACAGCUGUCACCUGUCCGAGCCACAAUGCCGCAUACCUGUCCGUGAUAUUGCACCUUAUCUGCACUGAAUAAACCUUCUACACAACCUAUACUGGAGCGCUUUAUUUCCUCCUAUUGCUUCAGCCACAAAUAUGAAUUAAAGGAGGACCAAAAUAUCUUCAUCGCCUUCACUAAGGGAAAUACUGCAUCAUUAUAGUAAACAUUUCAAG